This 301-nucleotide ribosomal RNA is filed under the name uncultured bacterium. Its description in RNAcentral is "partial 16S ribosomal RNA". It matches the Rfam family "Bacterial small subunit ribosomal RNA", at positions 509 to 807 of the family's 1533-position model. The record is from RNAcentral.
CAGUCGCCACGGGAAUACAGAGGGUGCGAGCGUUAAUCGGAUUUACUGGGCGUAAAGCGUGCGUAGGCGGCUUCUUAAGUCGGAUGUGAAAUCCCUGAGCUUAACUUAGGAAUUGCAUUCGAUACUGGGAAGCUAGAGUAUGGGAGAGGAUGGUAGAAUUCCAGGUGUAGCGGUGAAAUUCGUAGAGAUCUGGAGGAAUACCGAUGGCGAAGGCAGCCAUCUGGCCUAAUACUGACGCUGAGGUACGAAAGCAUGGGGAGCAAACAGGAUUAGAUACCCGAGUAGUCCCUGUCUCUUAUAC